Long non-coding RNA from Balaenoptera ricei (Rice's whale), 6551 nucleotides. RefSeq lists it as uncharacterized. The transcript has 5 exons. The record is from RefSeq and is a predicted model, not a curated record. NCBI's taxonomy places the organism in Eukaryota, Metazoa, Chordata, Mammalia, Artiodactyla, Balaenopteridae.
CGAGCUCUGGGGGGCGGACUCCCCCCUCGCUUUGUCAUGGGGGCGGGGCCGUCUCGGCAGGUGGUCGCCGCGGCCGCCGGGUGACUCCUUCUGGCCCCGCCUCCUGCCAGGCCCCGCCCCACCGCGGACACCGGGCCCCCGAGAGGCCGCCAGCGCCGGCCAGCGGCGACCAGGAGCCCAGCCCACCUCACACCCCACAUCGCAGCCAGGCCAGCGAGGCCUGAGGGCCAGGAUGCGGGCCGGCAGGACCCCGACGGCCGGCACGCGCCCCGAGCGAGAGGCCACGCCCCCCUCUGCAGGGCAGGAGCCCGGACCGAAGCCCACCGCGGCCCAAGAACGGGCAGGGCUGCCCUUCCUGCCACUACUGGACGGGGGGGCCCUGCUGAGUGACGUCCAGCUAACGCAGGCAUCGUGCAGGGCUCUCUCCGUCGCCGUGGGAGCCACUCAGGCUGCUUGACAGAGAGAGUCUUAAGAAAGCUCACGAAGCCAGGGAAACCCAUGGUCAUACGGGACCACGUGCCAGACGUCCAGCCACCUUGCCAUUGUGGGGCCUGGCUCCAGCAGCUGUGUCCUGGCUGUUCUAGAGCUUUCUGAAGGUCCUUCACUGGCUCUGGGCUCAAUGAAGGCAGCGCUGUGCUUGUCCAGCCUCUCACGUCCCCAGUGACCUGCCCUGCUCCAGCACUCUGUGCCCUGGUGACGAUGGGGCCCCAGAGGAAGCCCGCAACCCGGAAAAGCAGCCUUUCUCAGGAAGAACAAUGCCAGGACCCGGGCAGGUGGAGGGUGGGGAGGGCCCUGCACCCAGUGUGCUGAGGCAGGCAGCCCUGGGCUCUGCGGCUUUCCUGUAGGACCCGACCCCCGAUCCCUGCUCUCGAAACCCAAGCCCCAGGGAGCCGCUGACUGGCAGGGGCCCCUGGGGGGCAGCGGCUCCCGCUGAGACGCAGACGCCCCUCACCCCAGCCCCCAUGUUCUCAUUUCUUGCUGGUGGUCCUGACUGAAGGACGAGGCGGCAGCCCGGGGGGCGGGGGAGGCCUGGACUGACAGGGGGCCUGGGGGAGUGUCCUCGGGAAGGACCGUUCGAGGGGCACCGUGAUGCUUGCUGUGUCCCCCCCAGGCGUGUCUACCCUGAUUUCCUGGUCUCCUUCAGCCACAUCGAGCCAGCCCGCCUCUGCCGGGCGCUGGGCUGGGAGGACGGGGGGAGCCCGGUGUGGCCUCAUGACGCAAACAGAGAUGCUGCCGGCCACCUGGCCACUUGCUGAGAGCGGGCGGUGGGUGUGGAACAGGGGCGCCGGGCUUGGCUUGGGGCGCUGACCUGACCUGCGAGCUGACCCCACAUUCCCUAGGCCCGGGGCCGGGGGUGAGGACCCUCCCCUGAGCACGAGGCAGCUGGUGCAGGGGCGUGAGGUCACAGCAUCAGCGGGGAGCUUCCCAGGACGGGGAUCCACACACGGGUACGUACGUCCAGAGCACUUAUGCUCAGGGAAGUGACAGGGUGUCAGCUUUACCCGACCUAGUAUUUCGAGGAAACAUGCGAAAGACAAAGACCCAGGAGCUCAUCCACGUGUGACAGCCGAGCGAGGGCCCUGCACACCCGCACAGGUGCAUCCAGGUGUCAGGCGUGUCUUCUCGUGUCUCGUGGGAUGCAUGUGAGGCACGCCGGAAAAGCACAUGAAACGCAGACUGGCAUCAUCUUUUUAGACGUGGCUGUACCCAUUUUGCAGUCGUGGAGGAAGCAGGUGCUGGGCUCCAGGUGAGCCGGCCCCAGGCUCUGGCCCAGCCAGCAGCAGCGGCCAUGGUGCCUCCCGUGAGCCCAGGCCCCCGAGCUCAGGGGCUCUUGCCCAGAUGCGUGGAGGCCCCGUGGUGCCCUCCCUGGCGGCCCUGCUGGCACAGGUGGCCUAGCCGUCGUGUGCCCCAGGUCCUCUCCAGUAAGCAUCCCAAACCCAGCCCGUCGUGGGAGACUGGACCAUCCUCCCCAGCCACUGCUUCCUCCCAUGAGAGGUGCAUAAUUCCCCACCCAUCAUCUCGAGACUUGGCCUGUGCGUCCCACAGGAGAGGUAGGGCCCCAGCUUUGCUGACUUUGAGCUCAGCUGGGAGCCCAGUGCUGAUGAAUGAGAGGUAAGUGUGCAUGACGUGGCCAUCUGAGCAGAGCCCCGACUUAGUGCCCCGUCUCGAGGCCUUGGCUCUCUUCCUCCUCCCCCGGCUCACUUCCCCAGUUCAUUUGGGUCUUUGCUCAGUGGUCACCUAACACCAGUCACCACGGCCACUCCGUCAGCUAACACCACGGCCCUUCCGCCUCCUGGCUCCCAUUCCCCACGUCCUUGUGUUGUGAGGGUGAGCCACUCCCUGGGUCACCUGCCGCACCAGGACUGCAUCCUCUAGUUUAAAUUUCCAGGUGCCGACAGUUUGCCUCCAAAAUCCCAGAGCAGUGUUUCCUGCUUUAUUUUCGUCUGCAAGAGGCUGUGCAUGUCAUUGCUGCUUUCCCCUUGUCUGGAAGGUUCUGGAAUCCGAUGCUUGCUGAAAGUGGACACUGUGUCCCAAGAUCUGAGCCCACCAUCCUGUGAGCUCUCUGAAGGCAGGAGUUGUCUUCUAGAUCUUUCUAUCUACCACCAAACCAAGCGCCUGGCUCAGCACGUGUCCCCCAAGUAUCUGCUGGAUGAAGAGCUUUCCAAGAAAGUGAGAAAAGAGACAGAAGGAAUGAGUGGAUGUCCAAGACUUAGACCCAUCACCUCUGGCUCUAAGCCCUGUGCUGUUUCUGCUGAUUUGAGAACACCUGCAUCUUGGAUUACGAGACCGCUCACCUCAGGGCUCCCCGCGGAGACAGCCCACUGGAUGAAGGCGUGAGAGGUGAGGCCUACUGGAAACCGACAGACCCCUGAGUCAGACGUGGUGGCCAAGCACCGUGCGGGAGAGGGUGCCCCCAGCUCCACAGAGUGAGCCGCGGGUGGGAGAGCGCGUUCCGCAGGAAGCAGCCGGGGCGUCUGGCCGUCGCCGCAGGAAGGGCUUCUGCAGUGCUUCGUCUGGAAGGCAGUCUCAGGGUGAGUCCUGAGGUUUGGGGGGAGGACGCCGCUCGUUUCCAGAGUGUAGGUCACUGUUCCACGGAAGGUGUGACGUGGUGAGGAGCUACGCACCUGGAGGUGGAGUCCACCUGCCUGAGGGGGGGUGCCCUGACCCCGCCGUCCACUCCCUCCCUGCAGCCCCCAUGAGAAUAAGGGGAGGCACAUUUUGGGCUCGCGUUAGAUCGGAUCCGGUACUUAUUUUCUCUUGAGUUGAAAAGGAGAAUUUUGUUGGAUCUAAGUUCUUCCCCAAAGGACACAGCGCUGUCUGGGCGGGGAAUCCCGUGGCAGUGGGGACGGCGCUGGGAAGCCCUGCGGUCCCCGGGCUGGGAAGCGCCCGCCGCACUCGGGCUGGGGAGGCUCUGUGGGACUGAGCAGCCUGGCCUCCUCGGACCCAGACGCCUCCCAGACGGCUGCUGUUUGCCGCUGGCAGGGCCGGGGGGCCCAGGGCUGCCCGCAGGUCAUGCAGAGGGCUGCAGAGGAGGAGGCUUGGAGGGAGGCCGCCUCUGUCAGCUCCUCUUCCUCUGGCCCUGCCUCCCCGGCCCUGGGACUUGGGUCCUCCCCCACCUCCCUGGCCCCGUUUGAAAGCUCGGGCUCUGGGGAGACAGCUGGUGGGGGGGGGCUUCAAGAAGCAGCUGAGUGUUCCCUCCUCUCCCGAGGGGCACGGGGCUUGGGGGCUGGCGAACAUCCUCUGUGAGCGUGGCUCUGGGGAGCUGCUGCCCAGCUGCCCACUGACAGUUCUGGCCUGAUCCCCCAGAGGACGUGGAGGAGGAGGAGGAGGAGACAGGUGCCCUGGGCUCGGGGGACAUCUUACCAGGGGAUGGGGUGAGCUAGUGGAUCCUUGGCUUGGAGGCCCCCCUCCACCCCCGCCUUGGGAGGGAAAGCCCCACGGCACAAGGGUCCCAGGGGCACAGCAGCCGUGCUGGUGGUGAGCUCACCUGCUCCCAAGGAGAACACGUGCUGCGCGCUGGAGAAGGCAGCCCAGGGAGCAGGGCUUACACUCAAACAGAAAGUGGACCCACUGUUGGUUGCUACGUUGUUUGGUGUAGCAGUGCCUGGACAUGAUGAAACUCAGAGGAAAAAACUGAUAAGGCUCCAAGUCUGGAGACUAGGAGAAAGUCCAGGAAAUGGCUGGUAGCCUCCACAUUUAAUGCCGCUGUGCCCGGUGACCGUGACUCGGUAGAAGUGUCAGACUAUUUCUAGCACUGGAGAUUUGCAGGGGAGAGCUGGACUCUCCUUCCCACUCCCCGUGUAGCCUCAGUCUCACCCUGGCACACGCUAGUCCUGCUGGCGGCCGUGACUUUGGGUCCAGGUCACAGCGUUCCAAGCCCACCCCAGCGUCCCCUUGCCCCAGGAAGGCUCUCAGCCUCACUGCCACCCGGGGGGAGCCCUGAAAAGAAGGGACCAAGGUGCUUCUUCUGACGUUCUCCACCCGGGCCUCGGCCAGCCGGGUGGGGCCCGGACAGAGCAGAGCCUUCUGGACAAUUCCGUGCCCCGCUGGGCCUGCAACCACAGGCCACCUGAGUCUCCAGCGAGCAUGUAGUAAGUACCUGGCCUGGUGGGAUGGAGAGAGGGAGACCCGUGGACCCUGCCCUUCCCGCCUUCCCCUCCCUCAGCUACAGAAACAAAGAAGUGCAAGCCCCAUCAACCCAAAGAAGGGAAACAGAUUCUGGUUGGGAGGGUGACGUCUACAAUGGGCUGGAGCGGGAGUGGCCGGCGGGCCAGGAUCGUCGAUGUGGACCUUGUACCUCUGAGCUGAUGUGCAGGCAUGGGGUUCAAGGGGACCCACGUGGAAUAGCCGCCCCUUUAUGAAGUGAAAAGAAACGUAUGACACAUACACCCUCCCUCUGCCUGAAAGUAGAGCAGGUGGCGAAGUAAAAAAUCUGGGGACAAGGGAGUGAGGUUCGUCAGUUGUCCAGCUUUGGUCACACAGUGGUGUUGGUUUAGGCUCCCUAACUCAUCCCGACCCCCCUGUUGCCGUUUCAAAGGAGAAUUUCCUAAGGAGUUGGGUAUGUUUCUCAAAGUGUGUGUGUGUGAGUUUUAUUCUUUAUUAAGAGCACGUAAAAUGAGUGUUUUUUUUCAAAAAAGCAAUCUCUAGAGAUGUGCGCUUUGAAGCAGCCUCUUCAUUUCUGGCCACUGAAUGCCUAUCAGAGGCUCCCAGCUCCUAGGCGAGUGUCUGUCAACUUAGCCUCAAAGGGCAGGAAAUAUCCAGAACUGCCUUCUGCAAAUUGCCACCACUUGGGGGAUAGAAAGGAUACAGUUCAUGCAGCAGUUAAUCAGCAUCUGAAUUAAUAUCUUCCCUCCUAUUCACUUAUUAGGGAAAAAAGUGGUUUUAGAAGAUACUAGGUUUUUACUGACAACCCAGAACAGGCCUUUCAAAUAACCCAUGGUUAAGUUUUCAAGUGAGGGCAGUCUGUUCCCAGUAAGGACAUCUGGAGACAUCUCGGGGUGUUUUCGUUUUUACCAUAACUGGGGGUAAUGCAGGCCCCAGGGACCCUGAACAUCCUGCCAGACAGGGUGUUCUGCAGAGUGAAUGGCAGUCCUGCCAAAACGCCCAUGGAGCUCCUAAUGAAAAACACUGGUUUUUCAUUAAAAAUAGGAGGGAGGCAGAACAAAAAACAAAAAAACUGUUGUUGUUUUUUUCUCAUUACAAGGAAGUUCUCGUAUUGGGCAAGGCCACCCACCCUCGCUGGUGGGUCUUGGCGUUUUGAUUCCCUUUUCUCCACCCUUCCUGUUGAAAGUCUCAGGUGACAGCUCCACGGUCCGGUCACAUCCACCCGUGACAUGAAACCUCGGCCAGAUCUAACAGUGUCAGCCUCAGUUACACAACUGGAUGUGAACCAGUCUUAGAAAAGCCAACAAGACUCCAUUUCCAUCCCUCCCCACCUCCGGAGGCUGCAGCCUGAGUCGAGAACAGGCAAGGGAAAUUGGAGGCCGACAAACCAAGUCCCCUUCAGUGAGAAGGUGGACGGAUCCUGAGUUACUUGCUCAGCAGGUGCUCAGAAGGGCAAGGGGGAAGCACAAGAGAAAAGAGGUGGAGACAAAUGUUCUUUUGUAAAGAUGAUGGAAUUCCUCACCAUAAAAAGAGUGAAAGGAUGCCAUCUGCAGCAACAUGAGUGGACCUAGAGAUGACCAUACUGAGUGAAGUAAGUUAGACAGAGAAAGACAAAUACCAUAUGAUAUCACUUGUAUGUGGAAUCUAAAAAAAUGAUACAAAUGAACUUCUUUACAAAACAGAAACAGACUCACAGACUUAGAGAACAAAUUUAUGGUUACUGGGGGGAACAAAGGAGGGAUAAGUUAGUUUGGGAUUAACAGAGACACGCUACUAUAUAUAAAAUAUAUAAUCAACAAGGACCUACUGUAUAGCACAGGGAACUCUACUCAAUACUCUGUAAUAACCUAUAUGGGAAGAGAAUCUGAAAAAAAAUAGACACAUAUGUAUGUCUGUAUAACUGAAUCACUUUGUUGUAUACCUGAAAGUAACACAACAUUGUAAAU